Long non-coding RNA from Pristis pectinata (smalltooth sawfish), 364 nucleotides. RefSeq lists it as uncharacterized. The transcript has 3 exons. Lineage: Eukaryota; Metazoa; Chordata; Chondrichthyes; Rhinopristiformes; Pristidae. The record is from RefSeq and is a predicted model, not a curated record.
GUUCUCUAACCCUCCAAUUAUGUGACCACACUUCCCAUGGGAAUCAACUUGGUCAACCAGCUAUUCAACAAUUAGGGGCUUCACUGGCCAAAGGAAGAAGAGGACAAGUCAGGUGUCAUUGGCUUCUAUGUGGGAAGAUUGGUUGAGCCAGUAAUCCUGGUCCGGAUGGUCCAACUUUGGUGGUGGUCAAAUGAUUGGAAACUAUGGGCAACACAGUGGCAUAACAGUUAGAGCUGCUGCCUCACAGGGUUCGAUCAUGACCUCAGGUGCUGUCUGACAUGUUCUCCCUGUGACUGUGUGGGUUUCCUCUGGUUUUCUCCUGCAUCCCACAGAUGCACGGGUUCCGGGAAGACAGCUGAGGGCC